CCUACGGGGGGCUGCAGUGAGGAAUAUUGGUCAAUGGGCGCGAGCCUGAACCAGCCAAGUAGCGUGAAGGAUGACUGCCCUACGGGUUGUAAACUUCUUUUAUAAAGGAAUAAAGUGAGGCACGUGUGCCUUUUUGUCUGUACUUUAUGAAUAAGGAUCGGCUAACUCCGUGCCAGCAGCCGCGGUAAUACGGAGGAUACGAGCGUUAUCCGGAUUUAUUGGGUUUAAAGGGAGAGUAGGUGGAUUGUUAAGUCAGUUGUGAAAGUUUGCGGCUCAACCAUAAAAUUGCAGUUGAAACUGGCAGUCUUGAGUACAGUAGAGGUGGGCGGAAGUCGUGGUGUAGCGGUGAAAUGCUUAGAUAUCACGAAGAACUCCGAUGGCGAAGGCAGCUCACUGGACUGCAACUGACACUGAGGCUCGAAAGUGUGGGUAUCAAACAGGAUUAGAUACCCCAGUAGUC
Molecule: ribosomal RNA, 460 nt
Filed under: uncultured bacterium
Lineage: Bacteria
Description: partial 16S ribosomal RNA
Rfam family: Bacterial small subunit ribosomal RNA
Source: RNAcentral